AGGACGAACGCUUGCGACGUGCCUAAGAAAUGCAAGUCGAACGGGGUCAUCCUUCGGGGUGGCCUAGUGGCGAACGGUCGCGUAACACGUGGGCAACCUGCCCUGAAGCGGGGGACAACACACCGAAAGGUGUGCUAAUACCGCAUGUGAAUCGUGGUGGCAUCACCGAGGAUUCAAAGCCGCAAGGCACUUCAGGAUGGGCCCGCGGCCUAUCAGCUAGUUGGUGAGGUAACGGCCCACCAAGGCUUCGACGGGUAGCUGGUCUGAGAGGACGAUCAGCCGGAUUGGGACUGAGAUACGGCCCAGACUCCUACGGGGGGCAGCAAUUAGGAAUCUUGCGCAAUGGGCGAAAGCCUGACGCAGCGACGUCGCGUGAAGGAUGAAAUCUUUCGGGAUGUAAACUUCUUUUUCGGGAAGAACAAUGACGGUACCCGAAGAAUAAGCCCGGCUAACUACGCGCCAGCAGCCGC
Molecule: ribosomal RNA, 470 nt
Filed under: uncultured bacterium
Lineage: Bacteria
Description: SSU rRNA
Rfam family: Bacterial small subunit ribosomal RNA
Source: RNAcentral